UGUAUUCAAUAUUUCCAAGAGUCCGGAAGGAUCAACAAUCGUCCUCUUUGAGAACGGUUCCCUUUGUUCUUAUUGAAACUGGGAGGUGGCCGCAACCAAAAUAUGUUAAUGUCAAUAUGGAUGGUUCUACGCAUUCCCUACCUCUUGUGACAGUUUAUCAUCACUUGCAACCUUUACAUGCUACGCCUCUCACUUUUAUCCAGGCUCUCUUUGGUCAUCACUAUCCUGUUGGAGUAUUGGAUGAAGAAAAAAUUCUACCACUUGGUAAAGAUAUAACCGCUAUUGGUGUUUGCAGCUCAAAAGAUGGGAUUUUGGAGAUCAAAUCAUG
This 328-nucleotide unclassified non-coding RNA is filed under the name Hevea brasiliensis (rubber tree). The record is from RNAcentral. Lineage: Eukaryota; Viridiplantae; Streptophyta; Magnoliopsida; Malpighiales; Euphorbiaceae.